GUCAUCACUUCAUUUUUUUGCGCCUGCGCAUAAAUCUGAGAAACGUGAGUUUGUCAUCAUUUUUUAUCUAGACAUAGGAUAGGUUGUGUGAAAAUAUUACUGAUGUUUAACGUUAAAAAUGGACCAAAAGAUUAAUGCUAAACAACAUUUGACAUGUUUGAACGAACAUAAAUAGAUUAUUUACUAGGUUUUUUAGCUUUUCGGCGUGAUUUUACCAGCCCCCCAACCACGUUUUGUGGGAGCAUAAUGAACGCUAAGUACUUGGUGUUAUUUGGACAUAAAUUAUGAACUUUGUCAAAAGAAACCACAUUUGUUCCGGACCUGGAAUGCCUUCCGGACCUGGGAUCCUGCCUUCUGAUGGAGAUAAUCAAAGUGCGUACUGGGGUACCAGCCGGGUUCUGGCGCCUUGGCAUCAGAGUCAGACCGAGGCUCCUGCGGGGGACGACUGGUUCAGGCGCGCGGAGGAG
This 467-nucleotide long non-coding RNA is filed under the name Salmo salar (Atlantic salmon). RNAcentral describes it as "lncRNA (ENSSSAG00000114195.1)". The record is from RNAcentral. Lineage: Eukaryota; Metazoa; Chordata; Actinopteri; Salmoniformes; Salmonidae.